CCCUUCGGGGUGACCGUUGGUGCUGACGAGUGGCGGACGGGUGAGUAACGCUUGGGAAUCUACCCUGUAUGGGGGACAACCCGGGGAAACUCGGGCUAAUACCGCAUACGUCCUACGGGAGAAAGAGGGCCUCUUCUUGAAAGCUCUCGCUACUGGAUGAGCCCAAGUCGGAUUAGCUUGUUGGUGAGGUAAUAGCUCACCAAGGCUACGAUCCGUAGCUGGUCUGAGAGGACGAUCAGCCACACUGGGACUGAGACACGGCCCAGACUCCUACGGGAGGNCGAGCAGUGGGGAAUAUUGGACAAUGGGGGCAACCCUGAUCCAGCAAUGCCGCGUGUGUGAAGAAGGCCUGCGGGUUGUAAAGCACUUUCAGCAGAGAAGAAAAGCCUAGGGCUAAUACACUCUGGGUCUUGACGUAACCUGCAGAAGAAGCACCGGCUAACUCCGUG
This 449-nucleotide ribosomal RNA is filed under the name uncultured bacterium. RNAcentral's name for it is "bacterial SSU rRNA". It matches the Rfam family "Bacterial small subunit ribosomal RNA", at positions 62 to 507 of the family's 1533-position model. The record is from RNAcentral.